Molecule: long non-coding RNA, 410 nt
Organism: Vigna angularis (adzuki bean)
Lineage: Eukaryota; Viridiplantae; Streptophyta; Magnoliopsida; Fabales; Fabaceae
Exons: 3
Source: RefSeq, a predicted model, not a curated record
GAAUUUAGAAACCCUAGGUGAUGGGGUCUUCGAAGUGGAAGAGAUAAGAUCGAGCUGCUAUUGCCUUCUGCAUUUAGAGCUGAAGUGGUUGAGAAGUGUGGGGUACCUCAUUGGGAAGGCUUAAAGUGUUGUACAGUGAAGCAAAAGAGCUAGGUACUGAAGCAAGUUUAGCAUUAAAUUGUAUAAAGUUCAUUUGAACUUCCUGGGAGCAUUUUAAUAGAACAAUAGAGGAAGUUGCUGGAUCAAUCUCAAGGUUAGGAGAAUUCUGGUGGUGUAGAGAAAAGAAACUAAGAAGAGCCAAAGUAAGUGGCGCUAAACAUUAUCUUUGAUUCUGUGAAAUAUGGUGUUAUGAUUAUAUAAUGGGUGAAUGAUUCUUUCUAAUAUGAUGAAUGCAAAUUAACAUGUACUUU